This 610-nucleotide ribosomal RNA is filed under the name uncultured delta proteobacterium. RNAcentral's name for it is "bacterial SSU rRNA". It matches the Rfam family "Bacterial small subunit ribosomal RNA", at positions 227 to 828 of the family's 1533-position model. Lineage: Bacteria; Deltaproteobacteria. The record is from RNAcentral.
GGGCCUGCGUCUCAUUAGCUAGUUGGUAGGGUAAUGGCCUACCAAGGCAACGAUGAGUAGCUGGUCUGAGAGGAUGAUCAGCCACACUGGAACUGAAACACGGUCCAGACUCCUACGGGAGGCAGCAGUGGGGAAUAUUGCGCAAUGGGCGAAAGCCUGACGCAGCAACGCCGUGUGAGGGAUGAAGGCUUUCGGGUCGUAAACCUCUGUCGGAAGGGAAGAACGGGCAUUGGUCUAAUAGGCCUUUGUUUUGACGGUACCUUUAGAGGAAGCACCGGCUAACUCCGUGCCAGCAGCCACGGUAAUACGGAGGGUGCAAGCGUUAUUCGGAAUUACUGGGCGUAAAGCGCACGUAGGCCGCUUUGUAAGUCAGGGGUGAAAUCCCACGGCUCAACCGUGGAACUGCCUUUGAAACUGCAGAGCUUGAAUCCUGGAGAGGGUGGCGGAAUUCCUGGUGUAGGAGUGAAAUCCGUAGAUAUCAGGAGGAACACCGGUGGCGAAGGCGGCCACCUGGACAGGCAUUGACGCUGAGGUGCGAAAGUGUGGGGAGCAAACAGGAUUAGAUACCCUGGUAGUCCACACCGUAAACGAUGGAUACUAGAUGCCGGAG